RNAcentral lists this unclassified non-coding RNA (206 nucleotides) under plant metagenome. Its description in RNAcentral is "partial contains small subunit ribosomal RNA and internal transcribed spacer 1". The stretch from base 1 to 46 matches the Rfam family "Eukaryotic small subunit ribosomal RNA", at positions 1786 to 1831 of the family's 1831-position model. The record is from RNAcentral.
AAGUCGUAACAAGGUCUCCGUUGGUGAACCAGCGGAGGGAUCAUUACCGAGUUUACAACUCCCAAACCCCUGUGAACAUACCUCUUGUUGCUUCGGCGGGAUCGCCCCCGGCGCCUCUGUGCCCGGGACCAGGCGCCCGCCGGAGGCCCCCAAACUCUUGUUUUUUUAGUGAUAUCCUCUGAGUCUCACAAACAAAUAAAUUAAAA